UACGAAGGGGGCUAGCGUUGCUCGGAAUCACUGGGCGUAAAGCGCACGUAGGCGGCUUCUUAAGUCAGGGGUGAAAUCCUGGAGCUCAACUCCAGAACUGCCUUUGAUACUGAGGAGCUUGAGUCCGGGAGAGGUGAGUGGAACUGCGAGUGUAGAGGUGAAAUUCGUAGAUAUUCGCAAGAACACCAGUGGCGAAGGCGGCUCACUGGCCCGGUACUGACGCUGAGGUGCGAAAGCGUGGGAGCAACAGG
RNAcentral lists this ribosomal RNA (251 nucleotides) under uncultured bacterium. RNAcentral describes it as "partial 16S ribosomal RNA". It matches the Rfam family "Bacterial small subunit ribosomal RNA", at positions 524 to 776 of the family's 1533-position model. The record is from RNAcentral.